GACGAACGCUGGCGGCGUGCUUAACACAUGCAAGUCGAACGGAGUGGCGAACGGGUGAGUAACACGUGGGUGACCUGCCCUGCACUUCGGGAUAAGCCUGGGAAACUGGGUCUAAUACCGGAUAGUGUGGGAUGGGCCCGCGGCCUGUCAGCUUGUUGGUGGGGUAAUGGCCUACCAAGGCGGCGACGGGUAGCCGGCCUGAGAGGGUGGACGGCCACAUUGGGGAUGGGAACAGGGCCCAACUCCUUCGGGGGGCAGCAGGGGGGGAUAAUGCACCAUGGGGGGAAGCCUGAUGGAGCGACGCCGCGUGGGGGAUGACGGCCUUCGGGUUGUAAACUCCUUUCACCAUCGACGCGGUAGAUGGAGAAGAAGCACCGGCUAACUACGUGCCAGCAGCCGCGGUAAUUC
This 408-nucleotide ribosomal RNA is filed under the name uncultured bacterium. RNAcentral describes it as "partial 16S ribosomal RNA". It matches the Rfam family "Bacterial small subunit ribosomal RNA", at positions 28 to 526 of the family's 1533-position model. The record is from RNAcentral.